UUACUACUUGGAUAACCCGUGGUAAUUCUAGAGCUAAUACAUGCUGAAAACCCCAACUUCGGGAGGGGUGUAUUUAUUAGAUAAAAAACCAACGCCCUUUCGGGGCUUCUUGGUGAUUCAUGAUAACUUUACGGAUCGCAUGGCCUUGCGCCGGCGACGGUUCAUUCAAAUUUCUGCCCUAUCAACUUUCGAUGGUAAGGUAUUGGCUUACCAUGGUUUCAACGGGUAACGGGGAAUUAGGGUUCGAUUCCGGAGAGGGAGCCUGAGAAACGGCUACCACAUCCAAGGAAGGCAGCAGGCGCGCAAAUUACCCAAUCCCGACACGGGGAGGUAGUGACAAUAAAUACUGAUACAGGGCUCUUUUGGGUCUUGUAAUUGGAAUGAGUACAAUUUAAACCUCUUAACGAGGAACAAUUGGAGGGCAAGUCUGGUGCCAGCAGCCGCGGUAAUUCCAGCUCCAAUAGCGUAUAUUAAAGUUGUUGCAGUUAAAAAGCUCGUAGUUGAACCUUGGGUCUGGCUGGCAGGUCCGCCUCACCGCGUGUACUUGUCCGGCCGGGCCUUCCUUCUGGAGAACCUCAUGCCCUUCACUGGGCGUGUUGGGGACCAGGACUUUUACUUUGAAAAAAUUAGAGUGUUCAAAGCAGGCCUUUGCUCGAAUACGUUAGCAUGGAAUAAUAGAAUAGGACGUGCGGUCCUAUUUUGUUGGUUUCUAGGACCGCCGUAAUGAUUAAUAGGGACAGUCGGGGGCAUCAGUAUUCAAUUGUCAGAGGUGAAAUUCUUGGAUUUAUUGAAGACUAACUACUGCGAAAGCAUUUGCCAAGGAUGUUUUCAUUAAUCAGUGAACGAAAGUUAGGGGAUCGAAGACGAUCAGAUACCGUCGUAGUCUUAACCGUAAACUAUGCCGACUAGGGAUCGGGCGAUGUUCUUUUUCUGACUCGCUCGGCACCUUACGAGAAAUCAAAG
This 963-nucleotide ribosomal RNA is filed under the name Wojnowicia italica. Its description in RNAcentral is "SSU rRNA". It matches the Rfam family "Eukaryotic small subunit ribosomal RNA", at positions 132 to 1103 of the family's 1831-position model. The record is from RNAcentral. Lineage: Eukaryota; Fungi; Ascomycota; Dothideomycetes; Pleosporales; Phaeosphaeriaceae.